GGCGCACGGGUGAGUAACGCGUUUGUAAUCUACCUCUAACUGGGGCAUAGCCCGAAGAAAUUCGGAUUAAUACCCCAUAACAUCAUAAAAGGGCAUCCUUUAAUGAUUAAAGCUCCGGCGGUUAGAGAUGAGCAUGCGUGUCAUUAGCUAGUUGGUGAGGUAACGGCUCACCAAGGCGACGAUGACUAGGGGGUCUGAGAGGAUGAUCCCCCACACUGGUACUGAGACACGGACCAGACUCC
RNAcentral lists this ribosomal RNA (242 nucleotides) under uncultured bacterium. RNAcentral describes it as "partial 16S ribosomal RNA". It matches the Rfam family "Bacterial small subunit ribosomal RNA", at positions 97 to 339 of the family's 1533-position model. The record is from RNAcentral.